RNAcentral lists this ribosomal RNA (1599 nucleotides) under Salmonella enterica subsp. enterica serovar Infantis. RNAcentral's name for it is "bacterial LSU rRNA". The record is from RNAcentral. Lineage: Bacteria; Pseudomonadati; Pseudomonadota; Gammaproteobacteria; Enterobacterales; Enterobacteriaceae.
GCCAGCUAAGGUCCCAAAGUCAUGGUUAAGUGGGAAACGAUGUGGGAAGGCCCAGACAGCCAGGAUGUUGGCUUAGAAGCAGCCAUCAUUUAAAGAAAGCGUAAUAGCUCACUGGUCGAGUCGGCCUGCGCGGAAGAUGUAACGGGGCUAAACCAUGCACCGAAGCUGCGGCAGCGAACGUAUCACUUAAAGCGAUUCAGCGGGUUACGAUUGACGGAGCGAAGCGACGUCAAAGCGUAUACAAAGUCGAGUCGGUUUAAGGAUACGUUCGUUGGGUAGGGGAGCGUUCUGUAAGCCUGUGAAGGUGUGUCGUGAGGCAUGCUGGAGGUAUCAGAAGUGCGAAUGCUGACAUAAGUAACGAUAAAGCGGGUGAAAAGCCCGCUCGCCGGAAGACCAAGGGUUCCUGUCCAACGUUAAUCGGGGCAGGGUGAGUCGACCCCUAAGGCGAGGCCGAAAGGCGUAGUCGAUGGGAAACGGGUUAAUAUUCCCGUACUUGGUGUUACUGCGAAGGGGGGACGGAGAAGGCUAUGUUGGCCGGGCGACGGUUGUCCCGGUUUAAGCGUGUAGGCUGGUUUUCCAGGCAAAUCCGGAAAAUCAAGGCUGAGGCGUGAUGACGAGGCACUACGGUGCUGAAGCAACAAAUGCCCUGCUUCCAGGAAAAGCCUCUAAGCAUCAGGUAACAUCAAAUCGUACCCCAAACCGACACAGGUGGUCAGGUAGAGAAUACCAAGGCGCUUGAGAGAACUCGGGUGAAGGAACUAGGCAAAAUGGUGCCGUAACUUCGGGAGAAGGCACGCUGACACGUAGGUGAAGUGAUUUACUCAUGGAGCUGAAGUCAGUCGAAGAUACCAGCUGGCUGCAACUGUUUAUUAAAAACACAGCACUGUGCAAACACGAAAGUGGACGUAUACGGUGUGACGCCUGCCCGGUGCCGGAAGGUUAAUUGAUGGGGUCAGCGCAAGCGAAGCUCCUGAUCGAAGCCCCGGUAAACGGCGGCCGUAACUAUAACGGUCCUAAGGUAGCGAAAUUCCUUGUCGGGUAAGUUCCGACCUGCACGAAUGGCGUAAUGAUGGCCAGGCUGUCUCCACCCGAGACUCAGUGAAAUUGAACUCGCUGUGAAGAUGCAGUGUACCCGCGGCAAGACGGAAAGACCCCGUGAACCUUUACUAUAGCUUGACACUGAACAUUGAGCCUUGAUGUGUAGGAUAGGUGGGAGGCUUUGAAGYGUGGACGCCAGUCUGCRUGGAGCCGACCUUGAAAUACCACCCUUUAAUGUUUGAUGUUCUAACGUGGACCCGURAUCCGGGUUGCGGACAGUGUCUGGUGGGUAGUUUGACUGGGGCGGUCUCCUCCUAAAGAGUAACGGAGGAGCACGAAGGUUGGCUAAUCCUGGUCGGACAUCAGGAGGUUAGUGCAAUGGCAUAAGCCAGCUUGACUGCGAGCGUGACGGCGCGAGCAGGUGCGAAAGCAGGUCAUAGUGAUCCGGUGGUUCUGAAUGGAAGGGCCAUCGCUCAACGGAUAAAAGGUACUCCGGGGAUAACAGGCUGAUACCGCCCAAGAGUUCAUAUCGACGGCGGUGUUUGGCACCUCGAUGUCGGC